Molecule: ribosomal RNA, 938 nt
Filed under: Salmonella enterica subsp. enterica serovar Dublin
Lineage: Bacteria; Pseudomonadati; Pseudomonadota; Gammaproteobacteria; Enterobacterales; Enterobacteriaceae
Description: bacterial LSU rRNA
Rfam family: Bacterial large subunit ribosomal RNA
Source: RNAcentral
GUACAAGCAGUGGGAGCACAGGUUUACCUGUGUGACUGCGUACCUUUUGUAUAAUGGGUCAGCGACUUAUAUUCUGUAGCAAGGUUAACCGAAUAGGGGAGCCGGAGGGAAACCGAGUCUUAAUUGGGCGUUAAGUUGCAGGGUAUAGACCCGAAACCCGGUGAUCUAGCCAUGGGCAGGUUGAAGGUUGGGUAACACUAACUGGAGGACCGAACCGACUAAUGUUGAAAAAUUAGCGGAUGACCUGUGGCUGGGGGUGAAAGGCCAAUCAAACCGGGAGAUAGCUGGUUCUCCCCGAAAGCUAUUUAGGUAGCGCCUCGUGAAUUCAUCUCCGGGGGUAGAGCACUGUUUCGGCUAGGGGGCCAUCCCGGCUUACCAACCCGAUGCAAACUGCGAAUACCGGAGAAUGUUAUCACGGGAGACACACGGCGGGUGCUAACGUCCGUCGUGAAGAGGGAAACAACCCAGACCGCCAGCUAAGGUCCCAAAGUCAUGGUUAAGUGGGAAACGAUGUGGGAAGGCCCAGACAGCCAGGAUGUUGGCUUAGAAGCAGCCAUCAUUUAAAGAAAGCGUAAUAGCUCACUGGUCGAGUCGGCCUGCGCGGAAGAUGUAACGGGGCUAAACCAUGCACCGAAGCUGCGGCAGCGACGCUUAUGCGUUGUUGGGUAGGGGAGCGUUCUGUAAGCCUGUGAAGGUGGCCUGUGAGGGUUGCUGGAGGUAUCAGAAGUGCGAAUGCUGACAUAAGUAACGAUAAAGCGGGUGAAAAGCCCGCUCGCCGGAAGACCAAGGGUUCCUGUCCAACGUUAAUCGGGGCAGGGUGAGUCGACCCCUAAGGCGAGGCCGAAAGGCGUAGUCGAUGGGAAACGGGUUAAUAUUCCCGUACUUGGUGUUACUGCGAAGGGGGGACGGAGAAGGCUAUGUUGGCCGGGCGACGGUUG